AAUCUCAGUUCGGAUUGUAGGCUGCAACUCGCCUACAUGAAGUUGGAAUCGCUAGUAAUCGCGAAUCAGAAUGUCGCGGUGAAUACGUUCCCGGGUCUUGUACACACCGCCCGUCACACCACGAGAGUUUACAACACCCGAAGUCAGUGGCCUAACCGCAAGGAGGGAGCUGCCUAAGGUGGGGUAGAUGAUUGGGGUGAAGUCGUAACAAGGUAGC
RNAcentral lists this ribosomal RNA (217 nucleotides) under uncultured bacterium. Its description in RNAcentral is "partial 16S ribosomal RNA". It matches the Rfam family "Bacterial small subunit ribosomal RNA", at positions 1284 to 1500 of the family's 1533-position model. The record is from RNAcentral.